Long non-coding RNA from Syngnathus acus (greater pipefish), 1282 nucleotides. RefSeq lists it as uncharacterized. The transcript has 3 exons. Lineage: Eukaryota; Metazoa; Chordata; Actinopteri; Syngnathiformes; Syngnathidae. The record is from RefSeq and is a predicted model, not a curated record.
GGGCUCUUUGGUUUUUGUGCCAUUGUUUCGAAUGUUUUUGUUUUUUUUAAUGCUGGCCAGCUCAUUUUUUUCUUUUCUUUCCCACGUGGUGGUUUUUACUGGGGGUUGAAUGCAAAUGUUUGUUUGACAAAUUGUCCGCGUUUCUUGGUUCUGUUGAAUAUUGAGUGGUUUUAUUCGACGUUUUCAUGCAAACGUUUGGAUGUGCUUUUUUUUGCCAAACAGAUUGUUGCGAAUUCUUAUCAAAACCAAAUAUUCGUCCACUUUCGGUAUUGGUCUACUCAAGGUUGACAAACUCAUACCUAAAAAAAAAAAAAAACGUUUGCAAACAUUUUUUCCCUCUGGUUUCCGCCCGUACGGGACACGCGCCCUCUUUGGACAGCUGAGCUCCAUUCCGCCGAUUUUGGACUGCAAACUUGGAUCGUGUUUGGUCUCGAGCCAUAGAAUGACGACUGCAGCUUUCUUAUAUAAAAAGUGAGCAGCAAGAUCUCGAGGAGGUUUCAGUGAGGAUAGAGAUAAUGCACUUCAAAAUGAGGCUGGAAGAGGAGCCGAAUGACAUGAGGAAAGGACAAAUUCUACACUCGGUCAAGAAUCAAGCAGCACGCAAAAGUUGAUACGUGUGGGGAUCAUGUGAGGGGGCAGUGUGGAGCUCUGGGACGCGCUUUGGUUAUGGGUGCAUGACGGAAAGGUUUUUGGAGUGGACAGUGUUUGGGGGUCUGAUGGUUGGACUUGCUCAAGAGGUGCGCUGUAGUUGUGGUUGAGGUUGUGGCUUGUCUGGAUCCAGAGCAGCGUUGUCUUGUGCUAGGAUUGCCAUUGACGGCGCAUUGUAACCUUUGGGGGAGGACGUCGUCACGUCGAUGGACACAAACAAAACUUUGACGUGGAGCUGAAUGUCCAAUUUUGCGAUAUGACUUGUUGACUAUUGUAACAUUUUGUCUUUUUCUAACCCAUCACUGUCGUACUUGCGUUCUUUGUUCCCCCCUCGGUGUAGGGCGGUGUUGGAGCGAGCCGGUCCACGAGGUGCCAGAAACACAAACAGAACUUUGACGUGGAGCCAAAUGUCCAAUUUUGCGAUAUGACUUGUGACUAUUGUAACAUUUUGUCUUUGUCUAACCUACCACUGUCGUACUUGCGUUCUUUGUUCUCCCCUCGUUGUAGGGCGGUGGAGUGAGCCGGUCCCGAAUGUCCAAUUUUGCGAUAUGACUUGUAACAUUUUGUGUCUUUUUCUAGCCUACCACUGUCGUACUUGCGUUCUUUGUUCUUCCCUCGACGUAGGGCGGCGUUG